Molecule: ribosomal RNA, 301 nt
Filed under: uncultured bacterium
Lineage: Bacteria
Description: partial 16S ribosomal RNA
Rfam family: Bacterial small subunit ribosomal RNA
Source: RNAcentral
CACCGCCGCGGGAAUACGAAGGGUGCAAGCGUUACUCGGAAUUACUGGGCGUAAAGCGUGCGUAGGUGGUGGUUUAAGUCCGUUGUGAAAGCCCUGGGCUCAACCUGGGAAUUGCAGUGGAUACUGGGUCACUAGAGUGUGGUAGAGGAUAGUGGAAUUUCCGGUGUAGCAGUGAAAUGCGUAGAGAUCGGAAGGAACAUCUGUGGCGAAGGCGACUAUCUGGGCCAACACUGACACUGAGGCACGAAAGCGUGGGGAGCAAACAGGAUUAGAGACCCCUGUAGUCCCUGUCUCUUAUACA